Small nuclear RNA from Xenopus tropicalis (tropical clawed frog), 133 nucleotides. Its record names the gene U4. It matches the Rfam family "U4 spliceosomal RNA". Rfam says of the family: U4 small nuclear RNA (U4 snRNA) is a component of the major U2-dependent spliceosome. The record is from Ensembl. NCBI's taxonomy places the organism in Eukaryota, Metazoa, Chordata, Amphibia, Anura, Pipidae.
AGCUUUGCGCAGUGGCAGUAUCAUAGCCGAUGAGGUCAAACCGAGGCGUGAUUAUUGCUAAUUGUGAUGAAGCUGAAGCUUGAUGAGGGAAGAGCUGCUGACUUAUUUUUUGUCGGGGGCUUCGCACAUGCUC